AGUACAACUAUUUUGACUAUUUGUUCUGCCUAUCUAGGAACAGAACCCCAGUGGCACAAGAAAUAGUUCCCAGAGUCAACAACUGAGAUCACAUCAAACUAAAAAGCAUCUGCACAACAAAUGAAACAGCUAACAGAGUGAAGAAACAACAUGUAGAAUGUGGAAACAGAGGGCUAACAUCAAGAAAAUAUAAAAACUGCAAAAAUGUAGACACCCCCACAAUAAAAGGGUCAAUAAAAACGGGCAACUUAAAUGAACAGAUACUUCUCAGAAGAAGCACAAAUGGCAAACAAAUUUAUAAAAUAGUGUUCAACAUCACUGGCCACUAAAGUAAUGCAAGUUAAAACAACACCAAGAUUCCAUCUUACUUCAGAAAGUAAAGAUGGCCAUCAUCAAGAACCUAAAAAAAAAAAAGAACAAACCAAUAGCAAUGCCACCUUGAAAACUCAGAAACUGAAUCCAGCAAAAAAGAACUAGUGAAGAUAGCAGAAUCCAAACUAAAAAACAGACACUGAUCAUAGGAGGAAAAUAGUGGGCACUGGAACAUCCCUCCCCAUGGCAGAGUGCUGCAACUAUCCUUGACGUGUCUGCUCUUUACAUAGAAAGGACGUGCAGUUUCUCACAAACAGACAGAAAAUGAGCAACACUCGAAAGAAGUUCAAAUCAUUUUUAGUAGGCUACCGGAUUUUAAUGUAUAUUUUAAAGAUCCUAUAUGCUGCUUAAAGAAAAUAAAGCUACAAGGGAAAUUGUUAAAGUAGCAGAAGAAAGUACAAGGACCAAAUUCAUUAAUUGGAAUGAAUUAAAAGCAAAUGAAGAUGAGUGGAACUACAAAUUCCAUCCACACCAGUGCUCUGGGAUACAGAAAGAAUUCACAAGAGAGAAGGAAAGUGACCACCGGAGACAGAUGCAGCCUGCUGUGCCUUUGUUGAGGCAACUUUUUGCUCAUCCAGUGAUCUUCAAUUCUCAGAAAGCCACCGUGUGGCCUUUUCUCUGCUCCUCACCAGUGCACGAAUUCCUCAGUUCAGGACAGUGGCCUUCUGAAUGCUGAGCUCACCUGUUGUCUGGAAGGGCUUCUGGCUGGAGCCUGUGCACACUUUGGAUGGUAUCUAAGUGUGCCUCUGGCUAGGGCCCCUAAGUAGCUGUUGUCUGGGAGGGCCUUUGCCUGGAAACUAUGCACCCUAGUCCCUGGGGUCUGGGCAGGCUUCUGGCUAGGAUCUCUACACACUUCCAGAUGUAUCAUGCUAGAACUCUGGCUGUUGCUUUUGGGCCUGUGCAGCUCUUUUCUGCGUGGGCCUUUGGUUUGCAGCUGUGUGCCCAAGCUGCUGAGGUCAGGGAAGGCCCUAACUGGGUCUGCCUGCAGCCACACCCCUCUGGCCCACACUGCUGCUCCCUUGGAUCUGUGAGCACUUACCAGUGCUAUCAGGGAGGGCGGCCUCCGAAUGAUGUUUGUGUGCCUGUGCAGCUCUUUUCCUGGUGGGCCUUUGGGUUUUACCUGUGUUCCUAAACCAGUGGGGCUGGAGCGGGGUCCUGGCUGUAUCUGGAGCUGGGGCUUUUAUAGUGUCAUCUAUAAUGGCAAGCAGCUUAGAUCCUUCUAGAAUGAGUGGUGACAUUUUUCACAUUAGUGCUCCUCAUCUAAGAUUUUUUUUACCACAUUAUCUUGUGAAGUGAAAUAUGUCCACUAAUCCUUUUAGACCUACUCCUUGCUUGAGGGGAACCUGUUGGCCCUCCCAUUUACUUCAGAGUAUUGGCAGACCAUAUGCUUAGACAUGUCACUCCUGGGUUUCAAUUUAAAAGCAGUCCCUGACACCUGAAGCCCAAGUUUGUACUGUUGGGAAGUCAUGUUGCUGGCCUGAUAUGUAUACCAAAUCAUGGUGGUGAACAUCCCCUGAACAUGAAUGUCAGAUGAAGUCACUCUGUGACUAUGAUAGAUCAAGAAAAAACAAGAUAAACUUAUCCCAAACUGAAAUCUUCUGUAUUUUGGAAUGCAGACAAAAAUAUAAAACUUACUCAAACCA
Molecule: long non-coding RNA, 2015 nt
Filed under: Fukomys damarensis (Damara mole-rat)
Lineage: Eukaryota; Metazoa; Chordata; Mammalia; Rodentia; Bathyergidae
Description: lncRNA (ENSFDAG00000022198.1)
Source: RNAcentral